This 460-nucleotide ribosomal RNA is filed under the name uncultured bacterium. RNAcentral describes it as "partial 16S ribosomal RNA". It matches the Rfam family "Bacterial small subunit ribosomal RNA", at positions 338 to 795 of the family's 1533-position model. The record is from RNAcentral.
CCUACGGGAGGCAGCAGUGAGGAAUAUUGGUCAAUGGACGAGAGUCUGAACCAGCCAAGUAGCGUGAAGGAUGACUGCCCUAUGGGUUGUAAACUUCUUUUAUAUGGGAAUAAAAUGUUCCACGUGUGGGAUUUUGUAUGUACCAUAUGAAUAAGGAUCGGCUAACUCCGUGCCAGCAGCCGCGGUAAUACGGAGGAUCCGAGCGUUAUCCGGAUUUAUUGGGUUUAAAGGGAGCGUAGGUGGAUUGUUAAGUCAGUUGUGAAAGUUUGCGGCUCAACCGUAAAAUUGCAGUUGAAACUGGCAGUCUUGAGUACAGUAGAGGUGGGCGGAAUGCGUGGUGUAGCGGUGAAAUGCUUAGAUAUCACGAAGAACUCCGAUUGCGAAGGCAGUUCACUGGACUGUAACUGACACUGAGGCUCGAAAGUGUGGGUAUCAAACAGGAUUAGAUACCCCAGUAGUC